CUGUGAGCCGUGUUAACCGGACAUGAUGGAGAUGAUGAACGCAGGGAUUUUUCCGGUUUCGUCCUGCGGCCAACGAACUGGCAGCCGAGCGUCCCACCCAUCCGGCUC
RNAcentral lists this small RNA (108 nucleotides) under Agrobacterium radiobacter. RNAcentral describes it as "sRNA Atu_At1". It matches the Rfam family "Rhizobiales sRNA Atu_At1". Lineage: Bacteria; Pseudomonadati; Pseudomonadota; Alphaproteobacteria; Hyphomicrobiales; Rhizobiaceae. The record is from RNAcentral.